GAUGAACGCUGGCGGCGUGCCUAAUACAUGCAAGUAGAACGCUGAAGGAGGAGCUUGCUCUUCUGGAUGAGUUGCGAACGGGUGAGUAACGCGUAGGUAACCUGCCUGGUAGCGGGGGAUAACUAUUGGAAACGAUAGCUAAUACCGCAUGACAACAGUUAUUGCAUGAUAACUGUUUAAAAGGGGCAACUGCUCCACUACCAGAUGGACCUGCGUUGUAUUAGCUAGUUGGUGAGGUAACGGCUCACCAAGGCGACGAUACAUAGCCGACCUGAGAGGGGGAUCGGCCACACUGGGACUGAGACACGGCCCAGACUCCUACGGGAGGCAGCAGUAGGGAAUCUUCGGCAAUGGACGGAAGUCUGACCGAGCAACGCCGCGUGAGUGAAGAAGGUUUUCGGAUCGUAAAGCUCUGUUGUAAGAGAAGAACGAGUGUGAGAGUGGAAAGUUCACACUGUGACGGUAUCUUGCCAGAAAGGGACGGCUAACUACGUG
Molecule: ribosomal RNA, 495 nt
Filed under: uncultured bacterium
Lineage: Bacteria
Description: partial 16S ribosomal RNA
Rfam family: Bacterial small subunit ribosomal RNA
Source: RNAcentral